RNAcentral lists this ribosomal RNA (590 nucleotides) under Aureobasidium melanogenum. Its description in RNAcentral is "eukaryotic LSU rRNA". The stretch from base 218 to 371 matches the Rfam family "5.8S ribosomal RNA". The record is from RNAcentral. Lineage: Eukaryota; Fungi; Ascomycota; Dothideomycetes; Dothideales; Saccotheciaceae.
CAAGAUUUCCGUAGGUGAACCUGCGGAAGGAUCAUUAAAGAGUAAGGGUGCUCAGCGCCCGACCUCCAACCCUUUGUUGUUAAAACUACCUUGUUGCUUUGGCGGGACCGCUCGGUCUCGAGCCGCUGGGGAUUCGUCCCAGGCGAGCGCCCGCCAGAGUUAAACCAAACUCUUGUUAUUAAACCGGUCGUCUGAGUUAAAAUUUUGAAUAAAUCAAAACUUUCAACAACGGAUCUCUUGGUUCUCGCAUCGAUGAAGAACGCAGCGAAAUGCGAUAAGUAAUGUGAAUUGCAGAAUUCAGUGAAUCAUCGAAUCUUUGAACGCACAUUGCGCCCCUUGGUAUUCCGAGGGGCAUGCCUGUUCGAGCGUCAUUACACCACUCAAGCUAUGCUUGGUAUUGGGUGCCGUCCUUAGUUGGGCGCGCCUUAAAGACCUCGGCGAGGCCUCACCGGCUUUAGGCGUAGUAGAAUUUAUUCGAACGUCUGUCAAAGGAGAGGACUUCUGCCGACUGAAACCUUUAUUUUUCUAGGUUGACCUCGGAUCAGGUAGGGAUACCCGCUGAACUUAAGCAUAUCAAUAAGCGGAGGAAA